This 253-nucleotide ribosomal RNA is filed under the name uncultured bacterium. RNAcentral's name for it is "partial 16S ribosomal RNA". It matches the Rfam family "Bacterial small subunit ribosomal RNA", at positions 524 to 777 of the family's 1533-position model. The record is from RNAcentral.
UACAGAGGGGCAAGCGUUGUUCGGAAUUACUGGGCGUAAAGGGCGCGUAGGCGGCCUGCUAAGUCGAACGUGAAAUCCCUGGGCUCAACCCAGGAACUGCGUCCGAUACUGGUUGGCUUGAAUCCGGGAGAGGUGAGUGGAACUGCGAGUGUAGAGGUGAAAUUCGUAGAUAUUCGCAAGAACACCAGUGGCGAAGGCGGCUCACUGGCCCGGUACUGACGCUGAGGUGCGAAAGCGUGGGGAGCAAACAGGG